This 465-nucleotide ribosomal RNA is filed under the name uncultured bacterium. RNAcentral describes it as "partial 16S ribosomal RNA". It matches the Rfam family "Bacterial small subunit ribosomal RNA", at positions 28 to 507 of the family's 1533-position model. The record is from RNAcentral.
GACGAACGCUGGCGGCGUGCUUAACGCAUGCAAGUCGAACGGAAAGGCCCUGCUUGCCGGGUACUCGAGUGGCGAACGGGUGAGUAACACGUGGGUGAUCUGCCCUGCACUUCGGGAUAAGCCUGGGAAACUGGGUCUAAUACCGGAUAGGAGCCAUUUUUAGUGUGAUGGUUGGAAAGUUUUUUCGGUGUAGGAUGAGCUCGCGGCCUAUCAGCUUGUUGGUGGGGUAAUGGCCUACCAAGGCGGCGACGGGUAGCCGGCCUGAGAGGGUGGACGGCCACAUUGGGACUGAGAUACGGCCCAGACUCCUACGGGAGGCAGCAGUGGGGAAUAUUGCACAAUGGGCGCAAGCCUGAUGCAGCGACGCCGCGGGGGGGAGGACGGCCUUCGGGUUGUAAACUCCUUUCGCUAGGGACGAAGCUUUUUGUGACGGUACCUAGAUAAGAAGCACCGGCUAACUACGUG